UACGUAGGUGGCAAGCGUUAUCCGGAUUUAUUGGGCGUAAAGAGAGCGCAGGCGGUCUUUUAAGUCUGAUGUGAAAGCCUUCGGCUUAACCGGAGUAGUGCAUUGGAAACUGGGAGACUUGAGUGCAGAAGAGGAGAGUGGAACUCCAUGUGUAGCGGUGAAAUGCGUAGAUAUAUGGAAGAACACCAGUGGCGAAAGCGGCUCUCUGGUCUGUAACUGACGCUGAGGUUCGAAAGCGUGGGUAGCAAACAGG
RNAcentral lists this ribosomal RNA (253 nucleotides) under uncultured bacterium. Its description in RNAcentral is "partial 16S ribosomal RNA". It matches the Rfam family "Bacterial small subunit ribosomal RNA", at positions 524 to 776 of the family's 1533-position model. The record is from RNAcentral.